This 560-nucleotide ribosomal RNA is filed under the name uncultured bacterium. Its description in RNAcentral is "bacterial SSU rRNA". It matches the Rfam family "Bacterial small subunit ribosomal RNA", at positions 338 to 916 of the family's 1533-position model. The record is from RNAcentral.
CCUACGGGAGGCAGCAGUGGGGAAUAUUGGACAAUGGGGGCAACCCUGAUCCAGCAAUGCCGCGUGCGUGAAGAAGGCCUUAGGGUUGUAAAGCGCUUUCGCCCGCGACGAUGAUGACGGUAGCGGGAGAAGAAGCCCCGGCUAACUCCGUGCCAGCAGCCGCGGUAAUACGGAGGGGGCGAGCGUUGUUCGGAAUUACUGGGCGUAAAGCGCGCGUAGGCGGAUUAGAAAGUUGGGGGUGAAAUCCCGAGGCUCAACCUCGGAACUGCCUCCAAAACUGCUAGUCUAGAGUUCGAGAGAGGUGAGUGGAAUUCCGAGUGUAGAGGUGAAAUUCGUAGAUAUUCGGAGGAACACCAGUGGCGAAGGCGGCUCACUGGCUCGAUACUGACGCUGAGGUGCGAAAGUGUGGGGAGCAAACAGGAUUAGAUACCCUGGUAGUCCACACCGUAAACGAUGAAUGCCAGUCGUCGGAUAGUAUACUAUUCGGUGACACACCUAACGGAUUAAGCAUUCCGCCUGGGGAGUACGGUCGCAAGAUUAAAACUCAAAUGAAUUGACGG